UAAAUCACGCAAAUAAUUAAAUAAAUUUCUUAAAUAAUAGGUUGGGGCGUUACAACUCUCCUCAACUUAAAAGAAUUUUCGUCCACAAAAAUUACCUGUUGAAAACAAAUCCGGAUAAGGCUUUCUCAUCCAACUCUCAAUACUUGACUUCAAACAAGUCAAACACAAAUAUACCAACUAUGCAACAUCCCUUUUUAUUCCUGGCCACCAAAACAUUCU
This 219-nucleotide long non-coding RNA is filed under the name Lathyrus oleraceus (garden pea). RNAcentral's name for it is "Pisum sativum (pea) long non-coding RNA (PSAT_LNC017242)". Lineage: Eukaryota; Viridiplantae; Streptophyta; Magnoliopsida; Fabales; Fabaceae. The record is from RNAcentral.